Molecule: long non-coding RNA, 748 nt
Filed under: Sus scrofa (pig)
Lineage: Eukaryota; Metazoa; Chordata; Mammalia; Artiodactyla; Suidae
Description: lncRNA (ENSSSCG00055021837.1)
Source: RNAcentral
GGGAAAACUGUCUAGGUCUGAGCUGUCCAACACGGUAGCCACUAGCCACAAACGGCUGAAAAGUGAUUGAAAUGUGACAAAGACUAGUGAGAAAAAAGAACAUCAAAUAUUUUGCUAAUAAUUUUAAAAAUAUUGAUUACAUAUUGAAAUGAUAUUAUUAUGAAUACAUUGGGUUAAAUAAAAUACCAUACUGAAACAGAUGUGUUACUGUCUGUUUCUACUUAUUUUUUAAUGUCGCUUCUGGGAUAUUUAAAAUUAUAUAAUAGCUUUCAUUUGUUAACAUUCAUUAUAUUUCUGUAUUGUAGUGCUGGUUGAGAUUUUGUGUGUGUGUGUCUUUUUUUUUUUUGCCUUUUUUUCUAGGGCUGCUCCCACAGUGUGGCCCUAGAAAAGACAAAAAGACCUAAAUAAAUAAAUAAACAAACAAAUAAAUUAAUUAAUAAAAUAAAAGGACUGUGGCUUCCCAAGCUUUUACUCUCAUGAAAGCCCUAAGAUGCCACUAAAGGACUCUGGCUUCCCUGUUGGAGAGACUACAUGGAGAGACCACAUGGAAAGUCCACAUGGAGAGGGAGAACCCUUAAUCCUACCUGGAUACAGGGGUUGGUGGGGGGAUGAGGGAGGAGGGAGAAGCCCAGCCAUCAGCGAAUCGGCCAGCUGAAUGCAGCCCUCCAGUGACCACGAGCAAGAUCAACAGAAGAGCUGUUCAGCUAAGCUUAGCUCAUAUUGUGUAAUAAUGGAAAAAAAAAAAAAA